UAGAAAAAGUUUAAUUUUAGCUGAUAUUUAAUUAAAAUUUUAUUUUACAUGUAAAUUUUUGUGGGGAUAAUUAAAAAUCUUAAUGAUAAAACUUAUUUUAUUCGCAGUAUUUAGUAUUAUAUAUGAAUGAAUAUUUGAUUUAGUAAAAGUUAAUUAGCACAGGAUAAAUUUGUGCCAGCAUCUGCGGUUAUACAAAUUGUGCAAAUUAAAUUUAUUAGUAAAUAGUUAAUUUUUAAAAAAAAUUUUAAAGAAUAUGAUUUUAGGUGAAAUUUAAUUGUAUUUAAAAAUUGUUUAUGAAAUGAGGCUAUUAAAUUUAAAAAUAAACUAGGAUUAGAUACCCUAUUAUUAUAAAUAUAAAUUUGAUAUACUAAGGUAGUACUUGUUAUUUUCUCAAAACUUAAAAAAUUUGGCGGUAGUUUAGUCUUUUUAGAGGAACCUGUCCCGUAAUCGAUAGUCCACGAUAGAUUUUACUUACUUUAUUAGUUUAUAUACCGUCGUUACCAGAAGAUUUUAUAAGAAUUUAAUUUUCUAGGUUUUUGAUUAGAAUAAAUUUCAGAUCAAGGUGUAGCUGAUAGGUAAGAGGAGAUGGGUUACAAUAGGUUUAUUAAUACGCAUAAUUAUUUGUAAAAUUAAUUUGAAGGUGGAUUUAAUAGUAAAUUUAAUUAAAUAAUUAAAUUGAUUUUAGCUCUAAACUAUGCACAUAUCGCCCGUCGCUCUUUCUCUAAAGAAAGAUAAGUCGUAACAAAGUAGGUGUACUGGAAAGUGUACCUAGAAAG
RNAcentral lists this non-coding RNA (776 nucleotides) under Chasmoptera huttii. Lineage: Eukaryota; Metazoa; Arthropoda; Insecta; Neuroptera; Nemopteridae. The record is from RNAcentral.